UACGGAGGGGGCUAGCGUUGUUCGGAAUCAUUGGGCGUAAAGGGCGCGUAGGCGGCCGAUCAAGUCGGAGGUGAAAUCCCUCGGCUCAACUGAGGAAUUGCCUUCGAUACUGUUCGGCUUGAGUCCUGGAGAGGGUAGCGGAAUUCCCGGUGUAGCGGUGAAAUGCGUAGAGACCGGGAAGAACACCAGUGGCGAAGGCGGCUACCUGGACAGGUACUGACGCUGAAGCGCGAAAGCUAGGGGAGCAAACAGGAUUAGAUACCCUGGUAGUCCUAGCUGUAAACGAUGGGCACUUGGUGUUGCGGGUAUCGACCCCUGCAGUGCCGAAGCUAACGCAUUAAGUGCCCCGCCUGGGGAGUACGGUCGCAAGGCUG
This 374-nucleotide ribosomal RNA is filed under the name uncultured prokaryote. RNAcentral describes it as "bacterial SSU rRNA". It matches the Rfam family "Bacterial small subunit ribosomal RNA", at positions 524 to 896 of the family's 1533-position model. The record is from RNAcentral.